AUUGAACGCUGGCGGAAUGCUUUACACAUGCAAGUCGAACGGUAGAGGGGGCAACCCCUCGAGAGUGGCGAACGGGUGAGUAAUAUAUCGGAACGUGCCCAGUCGUGGGGGAUAACGUAGCGAAAGUUACGCUAAUACCGCAUACGAUCUACGGAUGAAAGCGGGGGAUCGCAAGACCUCGCGCGAUUGGAGCGGCCGAUAUCAGAUUAGGUAGUUGGUGGGGUAAAGGCUCACCAAGCCAACGAUCUGUAGCUGGUCUGAGAGGACGACCAGCCACACUGGAACUGAGACACGGUCCGGACUCCUACGGGAGGCAGCAGUGGGGAAUUUUGGACAAUGGACGCAAGUCUGAUCCAGCCAUUCCGCGUGCAGGAUGAAGGCCCUCGGGUUGUAAACUGCUUUUGUACAGAACGAAAAAGGUUUGGCCUAAUAAGCUGAGCUCAUGACGGUACCGUAAGAAUAAGCACCGGCUAACUACGUG
This 481-nucleotide ribosomal RNA is filed under the name uncultured bacterium. RNAcentral's name for it is "bacterial SSU rRNA". It matches the Rfam family "Bacterial small subunit ribosomal RNA", at positions 30 to 507 of the family's 1533-position model. The record is from RNAcentral.